Molecule: ribosomal RNA, 253 nt
Filed under: uncultured bacterium
Lineage: Bacteria
Description: partial 16S ribosomal RNA
Rfam family: Bacterial small subunit ribosomal RNA
Source: RNAcentral
UACGGAGGGUGCGAGCGUUGUCCGGAAUCACUGGGCGUAAAGCGCACGUAGGCGGCUACUCAAGUCAGAGGUGAAAGCCCGGGGCUCAACCCCGGAACUGCCUUUGAAACUAGGUAGCUAGAAUCCUGGAGAGGUCAGUGGAAUUCCGAGUGUAGAGGUGAAAUUCGUAGAUAUUCGGAAGAACACCAGUGGCGAAGGCGACUGACUGGACAGGUAUUGACGCUGAGGUGCGAAAGCGUGGGGAGCAAACAGG